CAGAUGAUCGCGCCUAUAAGUACCGAAAGGUCAUAGGUGAGGAAAGUCCGAGCUUCAUAGGGCAGGGUGCCGGAUAACGUCCGGUGGAGGUGACUCCAAGGCUAGUGCAAUAGAAAUAUACCGCCAGAUUCAUCUGCUUGCAGAUGUUUUGGUAAGGGUGGAAAGGUGGUGUAAGAGACCACCGCUUGUUUGGUAACAAACAAGGCUCUGUAAACCCCACUCGAAGUAAGACCGAAUUAAAAGCGAUACGGUUGCCCGCCGUGCUUUGGGUAGGUCGCGAUUUGUCUUUGACAAAUGAGCUAUAUGGUAACAUGUAGCAAAGAUAGAUGAUCAUCGAAUACAGAACUCGGCUUAUAGUGCUGCUCA
This 366-nucleotide RNase P RNA is filed under the name Anaerocolumna aminovalerica. Its description in RNAcentral is "Bacterial RNase P class A". It matches the Rfam family "Bacterial RNase P class A". From Rfam's summary of the family: Ribonuclease P (RNase P) is a ubiquitous endoribonuclease, found in archaea, bacteria and eukarya as well as chloroplasts and mitochondria. Its best characterised activity is the generation of mature 5'-ends of tRNAs by cleaving the 5'-leader elements of precursor-tRNAs. Lineage: Bacteria; Bacillati; Bacillota; Clostridia; Lachnospirales; Lachnospiraceae. The record is from RNAcentral.